UCCCUAAAUUUGCUUCCUGUUCAUGUUUCUGCUUAGUCUCUGUUCUGCAGUACUUUCAUGUUGACCACUGUGAUUAUCAUCUGUAUCAAAAGUGUUAGCAGUGGGUUGAAUAUUGCUAGAAAGAGCUCUCUCACAGGCUUCAGUGGUGCUUGCUUGGCUUAUUUCAACUGUAGGUGUUUGUGUUUUGGAAUCCACUUAAGUACUUUUGUGAUCUCAUUGUUAUUCCUCUAGGGUCUCGACCUCUGUUAAAAAUGGGGGGUACAUUAGCCACAGCAGAACAACUUACCUUGAUGUUCCACCUUUCCAACAUCUGUGCUACUGAGCCUCAAACUUUGGGAUUGUCAAAAUAUAUCCAACAAAAAAUUAGCUUGAACUCAAGUUGGGUCUACUAGACCCAUUUUUUUUAAAAGCAGUCACUUCUCGGGCCCCUCCAGGAUCAUGGCUCCUGAAGCUUAAGUGUAGUGUAGUGGUUAAGAGUGGUGGACUCAUAAUCUGGUAAACCGGGUUCGCUUCCCCGCUCCUCCACAUGCAGCUGCUGGGUGACCUUGGGCUAGUCACACUUCUCUGAAGUCUCUCAGCCUCACUCACCUCACCGAGUGUUUGUUGUGGGGGAGGAAGGGAAAGGAGAUUGUUAGCUACUUUGAGACUCCUUAAGGGGAGUGAAAGGCGAGAUAUCAAGUCCAAACUCCUCUUCUCUUCUAAGCUUCAUUAGUUUCAUAGUAGAUCCAUCCCUGGUACAAGUAUUUCAGAUUGCCACCAUUGUGCAACUUUACAGAUGAGAAAAAUAAUAGUUGGGCUUUCCUAAAUGUAACAUGUUUGUCACUGGGAACAGAGGUGUAGUUAGGGGGGAUCGGGGGGGGCACUGGGCGCCAUACUGCAGGAGGCAUCACUUACCGUGCCUGAGCCACAAGUCUCUGCUGGGAGUGACGCGGUGGCUCAGACACCUGCAGCCACUGCACUGCUUUUUUGAGCAGUGCGGAGCCUGCAGGGAAUCCGCCCACCGCCUCGCCCUCAGCUGUAGAGCAGCUGAGGGGGAGGUGGCAGGCGGAUACAAGCCCCACAAUGACGUUUUGGGCCGUGUGGAGCUUGCAUGCAGUCCGGCUGCCGCCACACCCUCACCUAUCAUGCUAAAUAUGGAUUCAGUUUAGCUAAAAUUCUAUGUGUGGCAGAACACUUUUAUUAAUUGAGUAUUUGGAAAUUGUGACUUGAAAGUGUUUGUUUUCUGACUGAAAACAAUUGUUUUCAGAAUUGUUUAAAAAUGAGGUGAUUACAGCAUCCAGUCUUUAAGGUAGCUGUUAUGUUUGCUUUUUGCUUAUUGCUUUGUGUUUAUUUCAUGAUUCAUGGAUCAUCUUAUGCUGAAGCAAGAAAAAUGCUGUGUUAAUUGUAUCAAUUAAGAUAAUGGAUAAUAAAAUGCAGUGAAACAUAAAGCCAAUCAUCCAAAUAAUGUAACUUAUUGCUUUGCACUAAUUGAAUUUGACUGUAUUUAUUUCCUGUUUCCAAAGAUGCAGCAUAUUCAGGAAAUUGUUUGGCACUAUGGCCCAUACAGAGACUUUUAAGCUUCAAGUCAUAUAAUUAGAUAAGCUAAGUAUGCAGCCUUGUAUUAUGCUAGCCUGUCAUGGCAUUUUUCUUAAGUGUUUAACAUUUGACUUAAAAAGACUUUGGAGAAUAUAGAUAAAGUUUUCCAAAUAAUGGGCAUGGAGCCUUUUGAAUAAUGUAACGUUAAAUAGCAGAAAUGCUAGACACUAUCCGCAUUCAACUGUACAUUUCCCACUGUGCUAAAUCACAGUUUAACAAGCCAAGAAGGGCGAGUGGAACCACUCCCCUUCCUCUUGCUCCCUCCUGUUGGGUGCCCUCUUUGUUUUUGGUUAGUAAACUGGCGUUAACUGAUCACCCCAUUUUGGUUGUUGAUGGGGGAACUGCUAUUUAAGAUAAGAGUACAGAAGGUAAGAUCGAAGUAGGGAGUGAAUGGUCCCAGCACUCAUUCCUGGUUUGCUAAACUAAACUGGCUUGAGAAACUAUAGUCCAUCCCGUGCAAUGUUGACUGUGAAUGGAAAUAAGUCUCGGAAGCAGAGAUCUUUCUUACAUGAGAGCCAUUUUAACUGAGGAUCCUGGAGAUUAAAUUUGGGGCUCUCUUCUGGUAAAACGUGUUCUCUGCCUCUGAAUCUUAAUUUUUCAGUGUUCUCUCUUAUACAUUUGUGCAUCAAUCUAUGAGAGCCAGCUCAUGAUAUUCGAACUUGGGUGGAAUGAAGCACAUCUUACUAUCUCAGGGCAGAACUACAUGUUGUGUUGAAAUAAUGGUGUGCGCGUGCGCUGUAAUUCAGAUAUGUAUACAAUGGGUACUUGCAUGGAAUAUUUGUUGGACUCGAGGAGAGGGUGCCCAACCCUUCCCACCAAUUCUCUCAUGCAAAUGACUCCCUUGCCGUUCUAAUUUUUAUCUCAGAUUUGCCCUGAAACCAGAAGUCAUCCUAGUGUAGUGGGGUAUCUUUGGGGAGCAUUGGACUAAGGAAAAGUACCUCUUGCACCUAUCAAUUAAUCUUGCCUUGUAAGUUACUCCAACCAGAAAUACAGGAUUGAAGGUCAUGGUUUGCUAAUAACUGGUUCUGCAUUCAGUUUAUGUAGAAGGAAUUUUAAGAGUUUUGACUGACAUUAAAUACUGGAUGGAAAUAAUGAAUUGUAUCUGAAUGUGCUUUAUAUAGAAUGCAAAGUACAUAUGAACAUUACUUAAGCUUUUGCUUGUACAGUACUAACAAUUUCCUGAAUUAGUGUAUAUAAAUGCAGGGAUUGGUCAGGUAAUUAGAACUCUUAUAUUUUCUACCUGUUCAAAUGCUGAAAUGUUGUGGCAAGCAGCAUAGUGCUGUCACUAGGGUGUGCUGUGAUUCCAUGAAUCAGUCUGCCUUUCAUAAUCAAGAUAGCUGCAAAUGAAUUUUUUGUCUGCUUUUGGUGCUGCUUCACGGCCAUGAAUUUUUCAGCACGUUGCUUCACUAUCACCUGGGCAACUGACUGAGUUCCCAUGUUAUUUUCUUUGUGUGUUACAGCAUGUUUCCCUGCUCUUCAGUGUACUCAUGUGAAUGAAUGAAAAUCUCAGGCUUGUUAGCAUAGUAUCCAAAAGUCUCAGAAGAGGGCCGUGGUACAAUGCAGCGAUCACGUCUUUUAUUUCUUCAAACAACAGUGGCUGCCAAAUGGGUGUUUUUAAAAAUUAGAUAUCACUGGUCUUUAAAGCAGUUUGCUGCUGUAGAGUAGCUAGGGCAGUACUGAUCUCACUAGUAAUGUAACUGAUCUCCAUCAUGUAACUAGCAUUUGGGUGAGGGGGGAAAAAUAGUAAACUAUAGAUUAUGCCAUUCUCUACCUUGUUGCUGCUCAUCUUUUAGUAAGGUGGAGAAGGAAAUAUAUAUAUACAUACACAGAGUAAACCCCCUAUUUAUGCUAGAGUUACUUUCCAGGGAUUACACCUAAAGCUAAAAUUGUGUUAUAGUUAAGGCCAGUUGGGCUCAAUGGCGGGUGGGAUUGCUAAUCCUGCCCACCCCUUUCCAUCUCCUUUUUAUUUAUUUUUUGCCAAGUACUGUACAUGAAACUGAAUACACACAAGUUAAAUGCACACAACUUGCAGGCUUGUUAUGUUGACAGUGCAUGAACUUUUUUAGUAUCAUGAAUAUUACUGUUCUCUAUUUUUGUAUUUUUAAUGUUUGUAAGAUUCUGUAAAGAGCAGUGAAUACAUUUAAUAAUAAUGAUAACGGUAAUAAAUAACUUCGUUGGAAGCUUACUCGGGACCAAAUAAGCUAUGUGCUUAAAUAAAUAGCUGUCCCUACCUGUGACUACAAGGUUUCAUCCUGACUCCAUUCCUUGUUCUUCCCUGGAUGGGGGAUUUUUGAAACCAAAAGUUACAAAGCUAAAUAUGUGAACUGCCUUGGGAAGAACAUCUCACAGGGGGCCACCACUGAAAUGGCAUGUUCUUUUAUUGCCACCUUUCUCACAGCCCUUUGACAAGGCACAUAGAUAAGUGCCUCAGAUUAUGAUCGUACAGCCCAAGUUGAUUAAUGAAUCUUUUUAUUUAAUUUUCUAACUGUGUGGGAUUUUUCUUUUUAGUUAUUUUCAUGAACUUGCUUUCAGCCUUUUUGCAUUAUAGAAUUAAUUGCACUCCCCCUGCCCCAGUCAUAUGAAGCUUUAAAGAACUAUAAUGAACUUUCUAGGAUGUACUGAACUAUUUGCUUCCUUUGAACUACAAGCCAUGUGAAAAUUGCUUUAAAAACCCUAGGAAGGUAUUUGCAUUUAGUGCUUUUCUCUUGAAUGAGACAUAAUAAAGCAGAGGUCUUGACUAGCCUCAAAAAUCGUAGGUAAUGAGCCUGCAUAAAAGUACCAAGUUGUUCUGAUGAUUUGGCUAAAUUUCAAUCCAUAUAAUUAACUGAAACAACACUUGUUAUUAUGUCUUCUUUUUUGCCCAACAUUUUGUAGGUCUUGUGUCUGAAACUGUAGGUCAAUCUCAGAAUGUUUAUUGGACUGAAUGAAAGUUUGCCAAAAUUUAGGGAGGGAGAUGUUAAUUGGAGAUAACACAUGAAAUGACCUGUGUCCAGAUUGGUUCAGGUAAUGCUGUUUAUAUAAGAAAUUAUUUGACCCAAAAACAUAAUCUGCAUUGUGUUUCAUUUUUCAAAAAAUAUUGCAAUCCUAAUAAAGUCAUUCUAUUACCUUCCAGGGAAUUAUACCUUAUAAUUAAUACUGGAAGGGCCCAUUCUUUCCAAAAGUAGAAUAGGUUACAUAUGACAUAAUUUGUGAAUAUUCUGCUAUAAAUUCUCAUCACCAUUUUUCACCUUUGUGUGAGCUUUGAAAUCUUCCUUCCUUCCUUCCUUCCUUCCUUCCUUCCUUCCUUCCUUCCUUCUACCGUGGGCCAAUUCAGACAUAUUCCAUUCACACACAUCUGCCAACUUCCCCAUGUGAGUUCAAUAGUCAAUGUUAUUGAAGUUCUCACAUCUAAAUAAUGAUGGGACCCUGUGGUCCAGAUAUUACUUACCCAUGCACCAUGAAAGAAAACAAGGAGGAAUCACAUAAAUCCAUGCAGAUUAUGGACUCCCAU
Molecule: long non-coding RNA, 5065 nt
Filed under: Podarcis lilfordi (Lilford's wall lizard)
Lineage: Eukaryota; Metazoa; Chordata; Lepidosauria; Squamata; Lacertidae
Source: RNAcentral